UCAUCAGUUCAUUUCUCUUAAUAAACAACAAAAAAAAGUGAUGAAAAAAGAUUUGUUAAGCUCAUCGUUGUACUUGACGGAUUGUGACAGAAAGUGAUAAGAAACAAAAAAAAAUGAGAUGAGAAACAGAAUAAACAGAGAAAAGAGGAAGACGAUAGAAGAGGGGAGAUAACUUUUUUUAGUAAACCGUUUUUUUUAAAGAUCUAUUUAUCUUUAGCUCAUAAUAAUUUCUAACAUCUUGGUGUUGAAUUUUCAUCACUGUGGCUCCCUAAAAGGUUGUUGGCCUUGAUCUCAAGGAUACAACAGUUAGUGCAAACACUUAUGGAUAUAGAAUCAUGUGUGAGUAUGCAUGAUUGUGAUUUGUGAGUAAAUUUCAAUUACAACUUUUCCAUACCGACUAUUGGAUUGUGAAUUCUAUUUAACUUGGCUGCUUCGGUGUCUCCAAAAUUGACUGAGUUUUGAUAUAUACAUAUAAUGAAUUUUUCUUAUUAUACUUCCAAGUUUGAAUCUGCAUAUAUCACAAUAAAAUGAGGAUGGUGGACGAAUGAGCUGGGUGUGGAAUACUAAACAUGUUCUUACAUGAAAUUGAAGCGUUGUAGUUUUGUCCAAACACUAACUUAUGCCUUAUUUAGAACACUCACUUCCCAUAACAUAUGUACUCUCUUCUCGACAAAUG
This 676-nucleotide long non-coding RNA is filed under the name Brassica napus (rape). RNAcentral's name for it is "long non-coding RNA (BNAP_LNC021684)". Lineage: Eukaryota; Viridiplantae; Streptophyta; Magnoliopsida; Brassicales; Brassicaceae. The record is from RNAcentral.